Molecule: ribosomal RNA, 1444 nt
Filed under: uncultured bacterium
Lineage: Bacteria
Description: bacterial SSU rRNA
Rfam family: Bacterial small subunit ribosomal RNA
Source: RNAcentral
GAUAAACGCUGGCGGCGCACAUAAGACAUGCAAGUCGAACGAACUUAACCAUUAGUUUACUAUUGGAGCGGUUAGUGGCGGACUGGUGAGUAACACGUAAGCAACCUGCCUAUCAGAGGGGAACAACAGUUAGAAAUGACUGCUAAUACCGCAUAUGCCUUAAUCUUCACAUGGAGAUAGAGGGAAAGGAGCAAUCCGCUGAUAGAUGGGCUUGCGUCUGAUUAGCUAGUAGGUGGGGUAAAGGCCUACCUAGGCAACGAUCAGUAGCCGGACUGAGAGGUUGAACGGCCACAUUGGGACUGAGAUACGGCCCAGACUCCUACGGGAGGCAGCAGUCGGGAAUAUUGCGCAAUGGAGGAAACUCUGACGCAGUGACGCCGCGUGCAGGAAGAAGGUUUUCGGAUUGUAAACUGCUUUAGACAGGGAAGAAAAAGGACAGUACCUGUAGAAUAAGCUCCGGCUAACUACGUGCCAGCAGCCGCGGUAAUACGUAGGGAGCAAGCGUUAUCCGGAUUUAUUGGGUGUAAAGGGUGCGUAGACGGGAAGUCAAGUUGGUUGUGAAAUCCCUCGGCUCAACUGAGGAACUGCAACCAAAACUAGCUUUCUUGAGUGCUGGAGAGGAAAGUGGAAUUCCUAGUGUAGCGGUGAAAUGCGUAGAUAUUAGGAGGAACACCAGUGGCGAAGGCGACUUUCUGGACAGUAACUGACGUUGAGGCACGAAAGUGUGGGGAGCAAACAGGAUUAGAUACCCUGGUAGUCCACACUGUAAACGAUGGAUACUAGGUGUAGGGAAUAUUAAGUUUUCUGUGCCGUCGCAAACGCAGUAAGUAUCCCACCUGGGGAGUACGGCCGCAAGGUUGAAACUCAAAGGAAUUGACGGGGGCCCGCACAAGCAGUGGAGUAUGUGGUUUAAUUCGAAGCAACGCGAAGAACCUUACCAGGGCUUGACAUAUGCAGGAAUAUACUAGAGAUAGUAUAGCUCUUCGGAGACUGUAUACAGGUGGUGCAUGGUUGUCGUCAGCUCGUGUCGUGAGAUGUUGGGUUAAGUCCCGCAACGAGCGCAACCCUUUUUUCUAGUUGCCAGCACGUGAAGGUGGGAACUCUAGAGAGACUGCCGUAGAUAAUACGGAGGAAGGUGGGGACGACGUCAAAUCAUCAUGCCCUUUAUGUCCUGGGCUACACACGUACUACAAUGGCUGUAACAGAGGGAAGCGAACCAGCGAUGGUAAGCGGAACCCAAAAAGCAGUCCAAGUUCGGAUUGAAGGCUGAAAUUCGCCUUCAUGAAGCCGGAAUUGCUAGUAAUGGCAGGUCAGCAUACUGCCGUGAAUACGUUCCCGGGCCUUGUACACACCGCCCGUCACACCAUGAGAGUUGGGGAUACCCGAAGCCUGUGAGCCAACAAUAUGAGGCAGCAGUCGAAGGUAGAAUCAAUGAUUGGGGUGA